GGCGUGGAGGCUGGGCCACCUCAGCGGGGCCGGGGCCGGGGGGACGUGCCUGCUGCCCGCCGCGUCCAGCGUAGGGCGGGCAGGGGGCGGCCCCUCCGCCUGAGGCGGCCCCGGGCUCCCCGCGCCCGGCCCGGUGUCGGUGGCGCCGCCGCCGCCGGCCCUGAGGCGGCCCCGGCCCCCGCGCUGCCCCGGGCCGCAGCCGCGGCGUGGCGGGUGAGGCACAGCAGGUCCCAGAGCGCUGCCCACAGCACCCGGCCCUGGCACCGGCCUGGCCCCAGGGAAACGCUGCAGGGCCGCAGCCCCACGGGCAUGGGGAGCGGGCUCCCCCCUGAGCCCCACCGGGAAUCCAUGCUUCUGGCCUUCGAGGAUGGUUCCCUCUGCCCUGGAUGACUCAGGUCUAUCUCUUCUAUGCUGAUACUUCCUGUAGCCGAAGCUUGCUGGGACAUCUGGAAGCUACUGCUACUACUGCUGCCACUAAUACUUCCAGUGCCAAUUCCACUUGUUCCACUGCCUGAGAGCUCCUCUGCUUCGAUGCGUUUUCUCUUGCCUCGGGAAGAGCGCACAAGUGAAGUACUGCUACUGCUGCUGCUGGAGGUAGCCCGAGAGACGGUAACACGGGAGGAGGGACUCGGAGAGAGCUUCAACCUUCACACAAAGAAGCAAGCGUUCCAAUUAACUCAUCCAGGGAACUACACACAAAGCAAUAAUGCUAUCAUAUACUCCGUAACCAAACUGCAAUACACCCCGAGGCUGGCAGUGGCCUCACUGUGUGCCAUGAGGACCGCAUGUAAGGGGGGUGGGGGGGAGCUAUCCAUCCCUGAGGAAUUUUCUGGUGGUACGAUUAUGUGACAUGGAAAGCCAUACAAACGAGCACAACACAGAUCAUGUAACCCUUCCCUCCAGUGUAUCUACUACUAAACAUACUAUUCUUGGGCCACAGCGCUUAAAACCAGGACAGCACAGAAGUAUAAGCAAUUAAAUAAAAAGAAGAGGUGAAUGUCAAACACAGAAUGAUACAUUCCGCUGUACUCCGAGGUCAUUAUAAAAACCAAAAUAUAACUAAAGACUAUUCACUUGUAAGUGUUCAUACAGCACACUGUGGUGUGAAGCCAGUAUGACUUCAGUGAAACAAAAGUCUGGAAAUUUCUGCUGAACUGGUAAAAAAAAAACAAGCCGAAGAAAUGAAAAUAACACCUGCUAUUUGUAAGAAAAGAAUGUGGAAUCUGUACAUACCUUUCCUCUUCUCCUUCCAGGAGUUUUCGGUAAGCACUGAUCUCCAUGUCCAGUGCUAACUUAACAUCAAGCAGUUCUUGGUACUCUGUAAGCUGCUGCUGCAUCUGGUCCCUCAUAUCUGUCAUUUCCCUCUCCUUUGCAUCUAGCAUCUUCCUAAACUUUUCCCGCUCACCAGCCAUCAUUUCCUCCAAUUCGUGAAUGCGAUCUUCUGCAGCACUAGCCUAGGUAGACAGCACAAUGGAAAACCCAGUUGGCAUCUACGUGGGUACAGUAAGAAAGUUAAAAAUUUGUCUCCCUCCCCAAUGAACAUAAAGAUUUCUCUCUGGAAAAUCCAGAAAACGUGAAGGAACAGAAAUGUUAAUAAAUCCAAACAAUACCGUGCUCUGUAUUAGAGAUGAAAGCGAAUUUAGUCCCUUUACCUGUUUCUGAAGGCCAGAGAGCUGGUAGUUGAGAGCUUCUAUUCUCAUGCGAGCCUCCUUCAACUCCUCUCGAGCUGCACCAGCAGCUUUGUCAUUUUGGUCAGACGACAGUUUGGCGUUCUCCAGCUGGAAAGCAAGUUUUAUACAAGUCACUUGGAUUGAGUUAGAUAACCUGCAAAUACCCUUUUGGUAAAAAAAUAGAAGCUAUUUAAUCUUAAAUAAUUUUAAAUGGCAAUCUGGUAAGUUUAUGGUGAGAAUUGCUUAACAUUAAGGAAAUGCCCUAAGGACCAGGAAAAUCUAUUUCAGUCCUAUUCCUAUGGAAUUUGCUUACGCUAUUAAAAAUAAAAGUCUAUUAACCCUUGCAGCACACAAGCAGCCUUCCACUUUCCAAAAACCAGGUUCAUGUGAUCAUGGUCUCUGCCUGUUUGUUGUAAGAACAAUCACACUGGGUCAGAGCAAAGGCUACCUAGUUCAUGUCCUGGUCUAACGAGAGACCAAGGUCAAUAAAAUAUUCCAUGGGUAUUAUGUCUCAGCUGGCCAUUUACAAUUCAGGGACUUCCCAAACCAGAGACAGUAUUUUGAUGCUUACUGCCUCUCUGGAUUUUUCAGGCAGGAACUUGCCCCUGCUUUUUGAAUUUAUGGGGCAAGGACUUUAGCUGUGGAUCACUGAAGAACAACCUUACUUUGUUUCUUCCAAGUCUACCACUGGACAUUCACUGUCCCUACUUCUGAAAAAUAAUAAACAAUCACUCCUCAUUUACCUUUUCUCUGCCAUCUAUGCUUUUACAGAUAUCUAUGGUAACUUCCCCUUCUCUUGAGACAGGUAUCUCGUUUCCCAGGAGAAGUUUUAUUUUGAACUUUCUUCAUGCAGGACCUCUUUCAUACUCUUAAUUGUCUUCGUUAGUCUUCUCUGUAUUACUCUGUACUACUUUUUCAAGAAGGACUAAGACUACCCACAGCACCCCAGAUGACAUCCUGCCCCAGAGGCAAAGCAGCACUUUCAGUUAUAUUCUCUGUCCCUAAUAGCUGCCAACAUGCAAUUCGUUUUCAGUUUUUGUUAAUUAAUUUCACCUAAUGAAGUUUGUUCACUUCUAGUGACUACUUUUAGCCAAAUCUGACAGAGAAACAACAGAGCUCAAAGCUAUUACAAGGGAAAUUUCAUCGAAGUAGAUAGCUAGAAAAAGCAUCCUUUUCACGCCUUGCAGGUGGAGCUCAACAAUUCUGCUACACGCCACAGAAUCCACCCAGGAACUAAAUUGCCCCAGUCCCAAAAACUGUUCCAAGCAGGACAUGAUGUUUAGCCACACAGCACAAAGCUUUUAUAAAAAUCAAUCUUCAUUAGCUCUGCUGAUCACAAGGCUCUGAGUAGGGCAGAAAACACAUAUAGAGCCUUCUUUAGGCUAAGGGUUUUGAAGGAACUUCAAACCAACUAUAUACUCCAUUACUUGUGAAGUUUUAAAUUAGAGAAUUAUUUAAAUGCUGACAUUCACUUCCUUACAGUCAUGCUGGCAUAGUGCCAAAUCCUCGAGUUUAGAAUGUCUGUUAUUUAUUGUCAAAGGUCAUGAUCAGAGCUAGAAGUGAGCUUUUACCCAAGACCCUCUUCAUCCUGGAGAAGCUCAGUAGCUAAACUUAGGGAAUACAAGGUCAAAGCGGCCUGUUAACAGCUCAGGCUCUCUCUGACAGGGACACAUCUUGAUCCAGAAAUCCAGGGAAUGAAGCUCACAGCUAAGCCCAUUUUCCCCUUUGCAUUCCAGCUUCACCCAUAACAACCACCAUCUUUUAUAUGGGGGGAAAAAGCAGCUUAAUUUGUUCAUCCCCCUUGUUCAAAUCUCAUCAAUUUUUCAUUCUCAAAGUCUGUAUUUUGCAGACUUUUUUUUUUUCCCUACCCUGGAUCUUCUUCUGACCGUGACAAGUGAAUCCAAGUAUCUUGUAUAAAAACAUCAUCUGUUCCUAACUUCAGCAAAUAAUACCAAGACUGCUAACUGUACUUAAGUUUUUUUUUUAGUAUCUAUUAUCUAUAUUGUUGUUGCUGUAAGAAAUGGUUAAGUAUUUGUAGAUCAAUGUUUCUUAUACUGUAAAUUAUCAAACCAAAGAAUUCAAAGGGAAUCUCAGUGAAAGGUGGGGGAGAUCAGUGUUAGUGGGAACGUAGUUUCUCUGCUGCAAGAGAAUUAGAAGUAACUGUAUUAUUGGCAAGUAUUUUCAAUAACCAGAAAACUGGCAGCUAAUCCCUUCAGGUAGGGCAAUGAAUAGUAAAACAAACAAAAAACCCAAACAUAAACCAAACAAACCUGUAACCAGGAGCUGUACCACUAACAAAGCUACUCCUCCCAUGGCCCCAGUGCUGGACGAACUGGGAUUUCCUAACUCGGGAUUUGCAGAGGUGUGACGGGUACAGCUGACUCCCAGCCACGCUUUGGUGCGGGCUGACUAAGAAGCAGCAGGACUCCAUUCCUGGCGUGAAUUUGUGAACUGCAGAGCCCCUGGCUCAUGCACACAGGAGCGAAGGGGUCUUGAAAAAUAUUCCAAAGGUACAGAACAAGAUACCAGAGCUAAAACAAAGACACAUAUCUUGUCUAUACUACUGACUAGCAGCCAACUACUUCAUUACCACUAGGAUGGACCCAGUUUGAGCUCUCCCUGAACCGCAGCUGGACUGCGUGACAGGUGACUCUCCCCUGGCGCAGGGAUGUCCCUCAAGGUUAGAGAUUCCUUAUGUGAGACUACAAGAUCCUUCCUUACCCGAGGUGGAGAGAGUCCUUACCCACGACAGAUCGGUGGUAAAUGACUACGAAACGUUACUAAUCCAGGUAGCUACUCGAUAUUAUUAUAAACGCUGUAUGGAUAAUCCCUUCAGACAUAAACCACUGACCAAGCCAGAGACUGAAAUUGGAUCCAACCCCACCUAGGCUCCAAAAGGAGUUUAGAAGGCAAGGGGGUCCACUCUGAACGUCGUGACUCAACAGGAGGGUUCCUCCUUACUCUUUGCGUCUCUGGUCUCUGUAUGAAUCAUUCUAACUCAAUUUUCCUUUGUAUGCUCCUUUCGUGCAGUAAUUAAUAAGGUGAAUCUUGCCAUCAGACUUAUGGAACCCUGUCAAAUCACUGUUAAACUUUAUUAAAUUCCAUUGAACUUACUGAACUCUGUUAAAUUAUUAUUUUACCUCAAUAAAAAAAUAUUACAGCUUC
Molecule: long non-coding RNA, 4835 nt
Organism: Falco peregrinus (peregrine falcon)
Lineage: Eukaryota; Metazoa; Chordata; Aves; Falconiformes; Falconidae
Exons: 2
Source: RefSeq, a predicted model, not a curated record